GCGCCCGUAGCUCAGUGGAUAGAGCACAGCAUUGCGGAUGCUGGGGUCGGGGGUUCGAGUCCCUCCGGGCGCGCCA
Molecule: transfer RNA, 76 nt
Filed under: candidate division WWE3 bacterium
Lineage: Bacteria; candidate division WWE3
Description: tRNA-Arg
Rfam family: tRNA
About the family: Transfer RNA (tRNA) molecules are approximately 80 nucleotides in length. Their secondary structure includes four short double-helical elements and three loops (D, anti-codon, and T loops).
Source: RNAcentral